This 253-nucleotide ribosomal RNA is filed under the name uncultured bacterium. Its description in RNAcentral is "partial 16S ribosomal RNA". It matches the Rfam family "Bacterial small subunit ribosomal RNA", at positions 524 to 776 of the family's 1533-position model. The record is from RNAcentral.
UACGUAGGUGGCAAGCGUUGUCCGGAUUUAUUGGGUUUAAAGGGUGCGUAGGCGGCUUUGUAAGUCAGUGGUGAAAUAUGUCAGCUCAACUGAGAGGGUGCCAUUGAUACUGCAGAGCUUGAGUACAGAUGAGGUAGGCGGAAUUGACGGUGUAGCGGUGAAAUGCUUAGAUAUCGUCAAGAACACCGAUAGCGAAGGCAGCUUGCUAGCCUGUAACUGACGCUGAGGCACGAAAGCUAGGGGAGCGAACGGG